This 253-nucleotide ribosomal RNA is filed under the name uncultured bacterium. RNAcentral's name for it is "partial 16S ribosomal RNA". It matches the Rfam family "Bacterial small subunit ribosomal RNA", at positions 524 to 776 of the family's 1533-position model. The record is from RNAcentral.
CACGUAGGGGGCGAGCGUUGUCCGGAUUCAUUGGGCGUAAAGGGCGCGCAGGCGGCCCGGAAAGUCGGAUGUGAAAACUCGAGGCUCAACCUCGAGCGUGCACUCGAUACUGCCGGGCUUGAGGCAGGUAGGGGAGAUUGGAAUUCCUGGUGUAGCGGUGAAAUGCGCAGAUAUCAGGAGGAACACCGGUGGCGAAGGCGGAUCUCUGGGCCGGUCCUGACGCUGAGGCGCGAAAGCUAGGGGAGCGAACAGG